GUUAGGUUGAUGGAUGCUGGGAAAGGUUAUAUCUUAUUGGUGGAUGCUGGGGAAGGGUGAAUCUUAUUGGUGGAUGCUGGGAAAGGUUAAAUCAUAUUGGUGGAUGUUGGGAAAGGUUAAAUCUUAUUGGUGGAUGCUGGGAAAUGUCAUAUAUCUUGUUGGUGGUUGCUGGGAGAAGUUAAAAUCAUAUUGGUGGAUGCUGGGAAAGGUUAAAUCUUAUUGGUGGAUGCUGGGAAAGGUUAAAUCUCAGUGGUGGAUGCUGGAAAAGGUCAUAUAUCUUGUUGGUGGAUGCUGGGAGAAGUUAAAUCUUAUUGGUGGAUGUUGGGAAAGGUUGAAUCAUAUUGCUGGAUGCUGGGAAAGGUUAGGUCAUGUUGGAUGCUGGGAAAGGUUAAAUCUCAUUGUUGGAUGCUGGAAAAGGUUAAAUCUCAUUGGUGGAUGCUGGGAAAGGUCAUAUCUUGUUGGUGAAUGCAAGGAGAGGUCAUAUAUCUUGUUAGUGGACGCUGGAAAAGGUUAAGUUAUGUUGAUGGCUGCUAGGCGAGGUCAAAUCUUGUUAGUGUUUACUGGAGAGUGUAGAUAGGACUUUUUUUGCAAACGUAAGAUAAACAAACUAUUCUAAUACACACCAUAUCCUUUUUUUCCCUUUCCCCAACCAUCUCCUCUCACCACCACCACCACCACCACCAUACUAGCAUUCCACCCUACCCUUCCUCAACCACCACCACCACCACCACCACCUACCUAUCCUUACCUCUUUCACCCCCACCACAGAAGUGUAUCAAAAUGAAGUGAAGAGUGAAUGCAAAUGAAGUGGACAUUCUCAUUGUAUUACGACCACUUCUAUUCCGUGUACCGUAACUUAUAAGUGAAUAAGGUCUUGUUUCCGAUGAUAACUAACGCACAUACACGCGUACAUACACUCCCUUCUCCCCGCCGUCAGUUACUUAAUUUACGCGCAGGUUUUGACGCACCGCCGAUUCGCACCGACUGACAGACACGCGCGCUAGUGGUAGAAAUUACGUACGUAGGUAGUCGUAAGUAUGUCGGCUUUCGUAGUGAACGCUCGCCCUCAAGUUGUUAUUAUUUCUGUUAUCAUUACUACAGCUAUUAUUAUUAUUGUUGUUGGGUAUUAGCCGGGGGUGUUUGCUAUUGGUUGCAUGCCGUUCCUAUUAUGACUCAUGGUGGAAAAGAACAACAAGAAAGUGACUCUGGGAAUUGAAAUGAUAUGCGGAAAUUAAAUGUCUUUAUUUAUUUUCUAUUAUUAUUAUUAUUUAUUUUUUAAGAAUAAGACAAUGAUAGUAGUUUUUUUCCUUUUUUUCUUCUCAUGUUUUGUUUCGUUUUCUUUUUCUUAUUUCAUGUGUAAUUAUGGAUAGACUUAUUGAUGAUACAUGCUUUUUUUUUUCUUUUCUUUUUUUUCUCGUGUAAUAUUAUGAUGCACUUACUCCCUAUGUGGACAACUAUUAUAUCCAGCUGGGUAUUUCUUUACUCUUUUUUUCUUCUUUCUUUUACCUGUAUACCUGUAAACUGAUAUGCUCUGUCAGGUAUUUCUUCAAGCACUGAGUUUUCAUCAUUUCAAUUUUUUUUUUACCUAUAUAGCCUUGAAUUAAUGUCCUCAGUAAGGCAUUUCUAAGCAUUGUCUGUUUAUCAUUUCAGAACUCAUUACCAGAUUUUAUUGUUUUCGUCAAUUUUAUAACUUUUACGUCUUGGUUCGGCAAUUCUCCAAAGUGGCUUUUUUUGUGUGUGUGUAAUGUGAGUACUAAUAGGGACGGUGUGUGUACUAAUUGGUGAAACAUUUCCCUGAUCAUCCCCCACUACCUCCCACCUCCUGCACUCCUCCCUCCUCCUCACCCUUCAUCUCAUAAUUCCUUUCAGUCAUUCAUCAUUUUUUUUUUUCUUUUUCUUUUUACUAUUUUUUCAUCUCCCAUUCUGUCACUUUUCUGCUGUUGCUCAUCCUUUUCCUUCUCGCUCCUUCUCCCUCCUCCUCCUCCUCCUCCUCCAAUCCUCUUAUGCAUAUGUGUGUUUGAAAACCGAAAAAUGUGCUCCGUUAAGAAGACUGAAAGCAUUGGCACACCUCCCCUUCCUCCCCUGUGCGCUCUCUCUCAUUCUCUCUCUCUCUCUCUCUCUCUCUCUCUCUCUCUCUCUCUCUCUCUCUCUCUCUCUCUCUCUCUCUCUCUCUCUCUCUCUCUCUCUCUCUCUCUCUCUCUCUCUCUCUCUCUCUCUCUCUCUCUCUCUCUCUCUCUCUCUCUCUCUCUCUCUCUCUCUCUCUCUCUCUCUCAUAUGCAUUGUGAUGAUGUAAUACAGUUAAUGUUUUUUUUGUAUAAACACAUUAUUUUUAUGAUUAGAGAGAGAGAGAGAGAGAGAGAGAGAGAGAGAGAGAGAGAACACUGAAAAUUGGAGACAUUCACUAUAGACACCCCUUGAAAAAUAGCGAAUAUAAGGAGAUGGAACAUAGGAAAAAUAAAAAGAUAGAUAGAUAGUGAAAGAAAGAUAGGGAGAUAGACACAAAUAGAUAGGGUAUGAAAGAGAUGAAUAGCAUGCAGGAAGGAAGGAAAGGAAAGGAAAAAAAAAUAGAAGGAAAAGAUGGAGGUAAGGAAAGGCAGUGGAAAAGCAAAUUAUCAUACAUUGCAAGAAGGGAAAAUGGAUGAAAAUAAAUGUACAGGGAAAUAAGUGACUGCUGUGAUGGUUGGGUUGGUUAGUAUUUAUUUAAUGUGAGUGGUUAGGCCUGAAGGGAGAUUAUGUUGAGGCUGAGAUGGCUUGUUAAUGGGGGAAGAGAGAGAGAGAGAGAGAGAGAGAGAGAGAGAGAGAGAGUUUAUAGUGGUGUGAAAAUUGAAGAGAUUAGGGAGAUUAUAAUGAAACACACAAAUGCACACACUAACCCACGUGUUUCCUUCCUUCCUUCCUUCCUGCCUUCCUUCCUUCCUUCCUUUCUAUAUAGGGGGAUGGGCCUCAGAAAGUAGAACAAACAGAGAAAACCGUGGAGAUUCUGCCCGCCAAUAAAACGAAUGAAGUCUUAGUAACAGAGAAGGAAGAAAAACUACCCUCACAGGAAACCAUUAAGGUGACAUCUGUGGAGAGUAAGAAUGUCACGGAUAAGGGCGAUGGACCUCAGAAAGUAGAGCGAACAGAGAAAACAAUUCAGAUUCCCUCUUCUCUUCCUUCUUUUCUUCAUUUUACCUUCCCUUCCACUUAUUCCCGUCCUUCUUUUUUCCUUUCAUUCUUUUCAUUCGUUCAUUUGUUCCUUCAUUCUUCAUUCCUUUCCCAUCAUUCCACUUUUCCUUCUUUCAUUCUUUUCAUUUGUUCAUUUGUUCAUUCUUCAUUCCUUUCCCAUCAUUCCACUUUUCCUUCUUUCAUUCUUUUCAUUUGUUCAUUUGUUCAUUCUUCAUUCCUUUCCCAUCAUUCCACUUUUUUCCUUCUUUCAUUCUUUUCAUUCAUUCAUUUGUUCCUUCAGUCUUCAUUUCUCUCCCAUCAUUCCACUUUUUUCCUUCUUUCAUUCAUUCAUUUGUUCCUUCAGUCUUCAUUUCUCUCCCAUCAUUCCACUUUUUUCCUUCUUUCAUUCAUUCAUUUGUUCCUUCAGUCUUCAUUUCUCUCCCAUCAUUCCACUUUUUUCCUUCUUUCAUUCCUUUCAUUUGUUCCUUCAUUCUUCAUCCCUUUCCCAUCAUUCCACCAUCACCCCUUCAUUAACCCCAUCACUUCACCCAUUCAUCUACCCAUAGGAACAAUUAUUAUUAUUAUUUUUGUUUCUUUUAUCGCGUUUUACAGUUUUAUUUUUGUAGCCCCUCCACCCUGCUCGUAGGUUGUGCUUGCGUCUCCCGUUUUCUGUUGGCUUCCACUACACACACCUUUCUGAAUGUUCGUAAUAGUGAUGACAACAGGUAAUUAUUAAUGUUGGUGAGUCUAUGAUGAGUCUCCUUUCUCUUCUCCUUCCUUCUCUGUCUCUCUCUUUCUCUCGUCUUUCUUUUUUUCUUUUCGUUAUUUUUUUUCAUAUUUUCUGUUUUUUUCUUGCAUUUUUUCUUUCGUUUUUAUUUGUUUUCAUUUUUCAUUUUGUCUUUUUUUAGUGCGUUGUUAUUUUUCCCUUCUUUUUCCUCCUUUUCUAUAUUAUUAUUUCUUCUUUUUCUUCUUUUUUUCUUCAUUUUUUUCUCUGUUGUUCAUUAUUAUUAUUAUUAUUAUUAUUAUUAUUAUUAUUAUUAUUAUUAUUAUUAUUCUCUCUCUCUCUCUCUCUCUCUCUCUCUCUCUCUCUCUCUCUCUCUCUCUCUCUCUCUCUCUCUCUCUCUCUCUCUCUCUCUCUCUCUCUCUCUCUCUCUCUCUCUCUCUCUCUCUCUCUCACUAACAUUUUUCCCCAAAGUAUUCCGACUCACCCCUUUUCAUUUUUGUCACUUUUUUUUCUUCCUUUCCGUGUAUGAUAUGUAAAAAAAUAAAUCCUUGUGUUUGUUUAGUUUUUAUGGUGUGUUUUGCGUACCAGGAAACAAACAAGGGUCAGGAGAAAGGGUUUUAAUGAGAGAAUACGUUGUGGCCGAGCUGAAUAAAUAUUUUAGGUUGUGAAUUGGAAAAUGUGAUGAAAUGAGUGUUUGGAUUUUACUUAUUUCAAUGAAAAAAGGAGAAAAGUAAAAAAAGACAAUAAAUGUAUAGGCACUCGAAAUUAAACUGUAGCAGAAGUAAAGAACAUGAGCAAGAGAAAAGGAAGAAGGGAAAUUAAUAAAAUAUUGUAUGUAUCACAAGAAAGAAUUAAAGAAAGCUGAAAAAGAGAAAUAUUGCUCAACUAGAAAUGGAAGUAAGGGAAGAGAAAGUAUACAAUAAGAAGAGGAGGAAGAAAAGAAGAAAAUAAAAGAUGAACCCUAAAGUCAACAGUAAUUGAAAAAGUGAACAGCAAGAAAAAAAAAAGAAGGGAAGAAGGAAAUAUGUGUUAGAAAAUAAAGGGAGAGAAGAAAACUAAUAUAAAUAAAUAAAAGGAAAUGAAAAAUUGCUGAACUAGAAAUCUGGAUCUGGAUAUUAAUGCACAGGGGUCCUUUCAGGUGCAUAACACGCAUGGAUGUAAAGGAAGAGAAGGAAGCUGUUAAACCUGUACUAGAAAUAAAGUAGAAAACCAAGAACUUGUAAAACUAAAAAAUGGACAAAAAAAAAAAAAGUGAGAAAGGAAUGUGGUCAACCUGUGCCGGAAAUGUACGUAUAUAU
This is a long non-coding RNA of Eriocheir sinensis (Chinese mitten crab), 5166 nucleotides long. RefSeq lists it as uncharacterized. The record is from RefSeq and is a predicted model, not a curated record. Lineage: Eukaryota; Metazoa; Arthropoda; Malacostraca; Decapoda; Varunidae. The transcript is spliced from 2 exons.